Molecule: transfer RNA, 73 nt
Filed under: Chloroflexi bacterium RBG_16_50_9
Lineage: Bacteria; Bacillati; Chloroflexota
Description: tRNA-Glu
Rfam family: tRNA
About the family: Transfer RNA (tRNA) molecules are approximately 80 nucleotides in length.
Source: RNAcentral
GCCCCCAUCGUCUAGUGGCCUAGGACGCGGCCCUUUCAAGGCUGUAACAUGGAUUCGAAUUCCAUUGGGGGCA